RNAcentral lists this ribosomal RNA (510 nucleotides) under Alteromonas sp. RNAcentral's name for it is "bacterial SSU rRNA". It matches the Rfam family "Bacterial small subunit ribosomal RNA", at positions 397 to 899 of the family's 1533-position model. Lineage: Bacteria; Pseudomonadati; Pseudomonadota; Gammaproteobacteria; Alteromonadales; Alteromonadaceae. The record is from RNAcentral.
CCGCGUGUGUGAAGAAGGCCUUCGGGUUGUAAAGCACUUUCAGUUGUGAGGAAAAGUUGGUAGUUAAUACCUGCCAGCCGUGACGUUAACAACAGAAGAAGCACCGGCUAACUCCGUGCCAGCAGCCGCGGUAAUACGGAGGGUGCGAGCGUUAAUCGGAAUUACUGGGCGUAAAGCGCACGCAGGCGGUUUGUUAAGCUAGAUGUGAAAGCCCCGGGCUCAACCUGGGAUGGUCAUUUAGAACUGGCAGACUAGAGUCUUGGAGAGGGGAGUGGAAUUCCAGGUGUAGCGGUGAAAUGCGUAGAUAUCUGGAGGAACAUCAGUGGCGAAGGCGACUCCCUGGCCAAAGACUGACGCUCAUGUGCGAAAGUGUGGGUAGCGAACAGGAUUAGAUACCCUGGUAGUCCACACCGUAAACGCUGUCUACUAGCUGUGUGUGAAUUUAAUUCGUGCGUAGCGAAGCUAACGCGCUAAGUAGACCGCCUGGGGAGUACGGCCGCAAGGUUAAAA